Molecule: ribosomal RNA, 437 nt
Filed under: uncultured bacterium
Lineage: Bacteria
Description: bacterial SSU rRNA
Rfam family: Bacterial small subunit ribosomal RNA
Source: RNAcentral
UUGCACAAUGGGCGCAAGCCUGAUGCAGCCAUGCCGCGUGUAUGAAGAAGGCCUUCGGGUUGUAAAGUACUUUCAGCAGUGAGGAAGGUGGAUAUGUUAAUAGCAUAUUCAUUUGACGUUAGCUGCAGAAGAAGCACCGGCUAACUCCGUGCCAGCAGCCGCGGUAAUACGGAGGGUGCGAGCGUUAAUCGGAAUUACUGGGCGUAAAGCGCAUGCAGGUGGUUUGUUAAGUCAGAUGUGAAAGCCCGGGGCUCAACCUCGGAAUUGCAUUUGAAACUGGCAAACUAGAGUACUGUAGAGGGGGGUAGAAUUUCAGGUGUAGCGGUGAAAUGCGUAGAGAUCUGAAGGAAUACCGGUGGCGAAGGCGGCCCCCUGGACAGAUACUGACACUCAGAUGCGAAAGCGUGGGGAGCAAACAGGAUUAGAUACCCUGGUAG